GGCAAGGAGACAAACCCUAACUUCACAAAUUCUCAAAAAUCAGAAGGAAAUUAGGAGUUCUAAUGGAUGCAUGAACCCUAAAUCAAAUAAUCUAAGCUUGUUCAACUCUUGGUGAUAAGGAAGAGGGCUCGAGUCAAGUGAAGCAACAAGGGAACCAAGAUCGAGGUAAAUCUCAUGUUUAGUUUUCAUGCUUCGCCCGGAAUAAACACACUUCAAGACCGCUCUACGCUCCGCUACUUUUGUAAUGAAGGCAACGCUCAAUAUUUUGGUCACUUUGUUUAAGUCUAGUAGUUAUAAACUUAGUACUUGUAUGUAUUUUGAACUUAUCAAAUUUCGUAUGCGUGUCAAGUCGUUUGAUGGUAUAUAAUAUGUCCUUAUUUUAAA
Molecule: long non-coding RNA, 384 nt
Organism: Helianthus annuus (common sunflower)
Lineage: Eukaryota; Viridiplantae; Streptophyta; Magnoliopsida; Asterales; Asteraceae
Exons: 3
Source: RefSeq, a predicted model, not a curated record